AAAAGUUCGUUCGGUUUUUCU
RNAcentral lists this microRNA (21 nucleotides) under Bos taurus (domestic cattle). RNAcentral's name for it is "bta-miR-2284u". The record is from miRBase by way of RNAcentral. Lineage: Eukaryota; Metazoa; Chordata; Mammalia; Artiodactyla; Bovidae.